This 21-nucleotide non-coding RNA is filed under the name Arabidopsis thaliana (thale cress). The record is from RNAcentral. Lineage: Eukaryota; Viridiplantae; Streptophyta; Magnoliopsida; Brassicales; Brassicaceae.
UAUGCCUGGCUCCCUGUAUGC